UAGGGAAUCUUCCACAAUGGACGCAAGUCUGAUGGAGCAACGCCGCGUGAGUGAAGAAGGUCUUCGGAUCGUAAAGCUCUGUUGUUGGUGAAGAAGGAUAGAGGCAGUAACUGGUCUUUAUCUGACGGUAAUCAACCAGAAAGUCACGGCUAACUACGUGCCAGCAGCCGCGGUAAUACGUAGGUGGCAAGCGUUGUCCGGAUUUAUUGGGCGUAAAGCGAGCGCAGCGGAAUGAUAAGUCUGAUGUGAAAGCCCACGGCUCAACCGUGGAACUGCAUCGGAAACUGUCAUUCUUGAGUGCAGAAGAGGAGAGUGGAACUCCAUGUGUAGCGGUGGAAUGCGUAGAUAUAUGGAAGAACACCAGUGGCGAAGGCGGCUCUCUGGUCUGCAAACUGACGCUGAGGCUCGAAAGCAUGGGUAGCGAACAGGAUUAGAUACCCUGGUAG
This 446-nucleotide ribosomal RNA is filed under the name uncultured bacterium. RNAcentral's name for it is "partial 16S ribosomal RNA". It matches the Rfam family "Bacterial small subunit ribosomal RNA", at positions 355 to 793 of the family's 1533-position model. The record is from RNAcentral.